RNAcentral lists this ribosomal RNA (447 nucleotides) under uncultured bacterium. RNAcentral describes it as "bacterial SSU rRNA". It matches the Rfam family "Bacterial small subunit ribosomal RNA", at positions 330 to 794 of the family's 1533-position model. The record is from RNAcentral.
UCCAGACUCCUACGGGAGGCAGCAGUGGGGAAUAUUGCACAAUGGGGGGAACCCUGAUGCAGCGACGCCGCGUGGGUGAAGGAGUACUUCGGUACGUAAAGCCCUAUCAGCAGGAAAGAAAAUGACGGUACCUGACUAAGAAGCCCCGGCUAACUACGUGCCAGCAGCCGCGGUAAUACGUAGGGAGCAAGCGUUAUCCGGAUUUAUUGGGUGUAAAGGGUGCGUAGACGGGAAAUUAAGUUAGUUGUGAAAUCCCUCGGCUCAACUGAGGAACUGCAACUAAAACUGGUUUUCUUGAGUGUUGGAGAGGAAAGCGGAAUUCCUAGUGUAGCGGUGAAAUGCGUAGAUAUUAGGAGGAACACCAGUGGCGAAGGCGGCUUUCUGGACAAUAACUGACGUUGAGGCACGAAAGUGUGGGGAGCAAACAGGAUUAGAUACCCGUGUAUA